CUGCUGGUAUCAUUCUUCCCAUCUCCCGUGGCAAGUGGGAGGGAAAUCGGUGUCCCUGCUUGUCUGGAACACAGCAGUUUCUGUGAAACAGUCCUCUGCUGGUUAUUAGAGAUGAAACCCGCAAACACAGCAGAGUGAGCAGAGGGAAAAAGACUCCUAGGAAGCCAGCUGGCCUCCUGCUGGACCUGCACAGCCGGUUCAAGGUCAACUGACCAGGGAAUGCCAGGAUGUGGCAGUGGUCACAGUGAAGAGGAUGCAUCCCCUCCCACCGAGUUCCCACGACAGGCCCCUCACUGGACUGGACAUUCUUCAUUUCAGCAACGUCCUCAGUGACGAUGCUUAUCAUCACCCCAAAGCUCAAGAAAGUGGGUUCCCAACCACAGAUGGAGGACUGGGCUCCUCUGCUCCCUUCUAGCGCUUCCCUCCUGCCCUGAACUGGAGGGAAACAGGUCCAUGUGUGCAUUCCACCUUUGACAGCCACCACAGUACAUCUUACCAGGAUGGAUCAGCACCCCCACCUGGGGUCUCAAGCCUCAGUCGCAGGCUGGGCUGCUCACCUGCCUUCCCCUCACUGCAGUCUCCAUCCCAGCCCCUCCUCCACGGGCCCUGGCUGGGAUGUAACUGCAGGAAAUCAAAACUUCCCUGGACUACAACUUCCUGUUUGGAGGGGACAGAAAUCAAGGAAACCACCACCCCUUUGGAGCUGGACAUGGGGGAUCUCAGGUAUCAGACCACUGAGCAACCCACCGCCAGGCUGCAGGCUUUCAGAGGCCCACCUGGGCCCAGCGUGGCCUGCCCCAGGGUGGGCUCCCAGCGCAACUGCAGGCAUCCUCUAGUGGGGCCUCUGGUAACCCUAGCAGAUGGUGGUGACCCCCCUGAGAUGAGGAAGCUGGUGACCUGAGACUGAGCAGCAGCCUAUGGGCUCCGGGUCAAGUGCUAUUCCCAGCGGAUGCCCUUCCCCUGCGCCAGUCCCUCCUUCCUGAGUGUCCAGCCCCCAAUGCAAACAGCAACCCCAGGCUCUGAAACUACUUUUUUUCUUAGAAAAAGCAAAACAAAACAUAAAACUUGUUUCUGAUUAUGAAAAGCUGUAUGU
RNAcentral lists this long non-coding RNA (1093 nucleotides) under Homo sapiens (human). RNAcentral describes it as "HSALNT0221855". Lineage: Eukaryota; Metazoa; Chordata; Mammalia; Primates; Hominidae. The record is from RNAcentral.